RNAcentral lists this ribosomal RNA (594 nucleotides) under Neurospora cerealis. Its description in RNAcentral is "eukaryotic LSU rRNA". The stretch from base 232 to 385 matches the Rfam family "5.8S ribosomal RNA". The record is from RNAcentral. Lineage: Eukaryota; Fungi; Ascomycota; Sordariomycetes; Sordariales; Sordariaceae.
CGUAACAAGGUCUCCGUUGGUGAACCAGCGGAGGGAUCAUUACAGAGUUGCAAAACUCCCACAAACCAUCGCGAAUCUUACCCGUACGGUUGCCUCGGCGCUGGCGGUCCGGAAGGCCCUCGGGCCCCCCGGAUCCUCGGGUCUCCCGCUCGCGGGAGGCUGCCCGCCGGAGUGCCGAAACCAAACUCUUGAUAUUUUAUGUCUCUCUGAGUAAACUUUUAAAUAAGUCAAAACUUUCAACAACGGAUCUCUUGGUUCUGGCAUCGAUGAAGAACGCAGCGAAAUGCGAUAAGUAAUGUGAAUUGCAGAAUUCAGUGAAUCAUCGAAUCUUUGAACGCACAUUGCGCUCGCCAGUAUUCUGGCGAGCAUGCCUGUUCGAGCGUCAUUUCAACCAUCAAGCUCUGCUUGCGUUGGGGAUCCGCGGCUGCCCGCGGUCCCUCAAAAACAGUGGCGGGCUCGCUAGUCACACCGAGCGUAGUAACUCUACAUCGCUAUGGUCGUGCGGCGGGUUCUUGCCGUAAAACCCCCCAAUUUCUAAGGUUGACCUCGGAUCAGGUAGAAAUACCCGCUGAACUUAAGCAUAUCAAUAAGCGG